GGAGAAAUGUGGCCUGCUCAGAUUUUCAAUCUGAAAAGACGGGUUCGACUCCCGUAGGGACCGCCA
This 66-nucleotide transfer RNA is filed under the name Hyphomicrobiaceae bacterium. Its description in RNAcentral is "tRNA-Ser". Lineage: Bacteria; Pseudomonadati; Pseudomonadota; Alphaproteobacteria; Hyphomicrobiales; Hyphomicrobiaceae. The record is from RNAcentral.